Small nuclear RNA from Esox lucius (northern pike), 164 nucleotides. Its record names the gene U1. It matches the Rfam family "U1 spliceosomal RNA". From Rfam's summary of the family: U1 is a small nuclear RNA (snRNA) component of the spliceosome (involved in pre-mRNA splicing). The record is from Ensembl. NCBI's taxonomy places the organism in Eukaryota, Metazoa, Chordata, Actinopteri, Esociformes, Esocidae.
AUACUUACCUGGCAAGGGAGACACCGUGAUCACCAAGGCGGUUCACCCAGGGCGAGGCUCGGCCAUUGCACUCCGGCUGUGCUGACCCCUGCGAAUUUCCCAAAUGUGGAAAUCUCGAUUGCAUAAUUUCUGGUAGUGGGGGACUGCGUUUGCGCUCUCCCCUG